Molecule: non-coding RNA, 83 nt
Organism: Paramuricea clavata
Lineage: Eukaryota; Metazoa; Cnidaria; Anthozoa; Malacalcyonacea; Plexauridae
Source: the annotation of a GenBank genome assembly
AUACGAGCGCGAAAGGCUGCUGGGAAUCGUUAUGAAAAUUCAUUAAUGUGUUAGUGAUUCCCAGCAGCCUUUCGCGCUCGUAU